RNAcentral lists this transfer RNA (83 nucleotides) under Daphnia pulicaria. RNAcentral's name for it is "tRNA-Leu". It matches the Rfam family "tRNA". Rfam says of the family: Transfer RNA (tRNA) molecules are approximately 80 nucleotides in length. The record is from RNAcentral. Lineage: Eukaryota; Metazoa; Arthropoda; Branchiopoda; Diplostraca; Daphniidae.
GUCAGGAUGGCCGAGCGGUCUAAGGCGCCAGACUUAAAUUCUGGUCUUCAAUGAAGGCGUGGGUUCAAAUCCCACUCCUGACA